GACAGAGGGUGCAAACGUGGUUCGGAUUUACUGGGCGUAAAGCGCGUGUAGGCGGCUUUGCAAGUCGGAUGUGAAAGCCCACGGCUCAACCGUGGAAGUGCAUCCGAAACUGCAUGGCUUGAGUCUCGGAGAGGAAGGUGGAAUGCUUGGUGUAGAGGUGAAAUUCGUAGAUAUCAAGCAGAACACCUGCGGCGAAGGCGGCCUUCUGGACGAUGACUGACGCUGAGACGCGAAAGCGUGGGGAGCAAACAGG
RNAcentral lists this ribosomal RNA (253 nucleotides) under uncultured bacterium. Its description in RNAcentral is "partial 16S ribosomal RNA". It matches the Rfam family "Bacterial small subunit ribosomal RNA", at positions 524 to 776 of the family's 1533-position model. The record is from RNAcentral.